AAAUAUUUAUGUUUUAUUUCAUCCCUCCCAAAUAACCACUUCCCCCUUUCCUAAAAAUUUCAAAUGAAAUCCCUACAAUUCAUCCCUCCCAAAUAACCACUUCCCCCUAAAACCCUAGACUACGUUCACCUCUUUUUCUUACUUCCCUAUGCAAUUUCAUUUACCUUUCCCUCUUAGUACUAUGGAUUCUAAACCCAAUCAACAUCAACGACUGUGUGCAAGGGCAGCAGUGGGUACCAAUUCACCGUGCUGCUCCAACAUUAGAAGCCGACCCAACAUUGCUUCGAUCGUCGGUCUGACAUGUUAAGUCCUCUCUCCCCAAAUUCCCCUUUUGAAGGUAUUUUUAUGCCAUUAACCAUCUACAUUUUUUUAUUUCUUGUUUUAUAUUUAAAAUGUGCAGGUUAAAAAACUUUUGUAAAUAGAUUAUAGUUUUGGUUUGCAUAUAUCAGGGAUUGAGAUUUAUGAUUCUGGUGGUGUUGUUGAAAUCUGAAAGGUUGAAGACGCACACCAACUGCUCGGUGAAAUGCUUCAACCAAUAUUAUUAUUAUUUAUGCAUCAUUUAAUGGUUAAAUGCUCUUUAUAUGCAGAUAGGAACUAUAUACUAAAUUUAUAUAACCAUGCCUUUUAAUGGAUGCUCAAACUAGAAGGUUUAUGGUAUCAAUGCUAAGGUUAUGUAGUAGCUUCUUUCAUGGCUUCAUCGUCAUGCGAGGAUUUUUUAGGGAUUCUUUGAGCUAUAAUUAAAUAAACAAAUGGUACCCCUUUGUCCAUAACACGAAUUGACCCUUCAGGUCUUGAGUGAAGCCAAGUUAGGUGUAUUUAUACAAGAUGUUGCUUUGAUGUCUUCUACUUUGUUCAAGAUUCACUAUCCCCUCUUGGUAUGGCACUUGUUGUUGGAUUGGUUGGUUAGGGCCUAUUUCAACGCAGAUUUCCUAUGGUACGUUGUGGCAAAUCUUGAAUUUCUUUUUAAGUAGAAAGUUGGCAUUUUUAGGUGCAAGACCAUAAAGCACAACCUAUUACACUUCCUUUCUUCUCUAUGCUAGAAACUAAUCGAAAGCUGUAUAUUAUUGGAGUUAGAUUCACACAAAGGGCUAUUGUUUAAAUAUGACCAGAUUCUAGACUUGAAUGCCCACCACUGAGUGCUCUCGACUUCGAUUGUUGAGCUGUCAAAGGCCUUAGAUCCAGAACCCGACCAAAUGUGAGUUGCUAUCUCCCUAUCACGCUCGCGAGGAAGUGACGGAUUCAUAUGGUAAUCAAACACAUGAAAGAGUUUAUCGACUCUAUACAACAUGAUUUGGUUAACCGACUUUGGAAUGAAGAAGGGUAUUUUGAAGAAUCUCAAAUUGAGAAUUUAGUGGUAGAUUUAAUGUCGAGAUUUAUUAAAAAGAUGUUUUGAUCUUGUAAGCAUUAGUUUUUAUUUCAUACUUUUGUAAUUCCGUAUACUUGAACGGGUUGUUGGGUUGUUUAAUACUAGUUAACUUUUGUCGUGA
Helianthus annuus (common sunflower) is the source of this 1487-nucleotide long non-coding RNA. RefSeq lists it as uncharacterized. The record is from RefSeq and is a predicted model, not a curated record. The transcript has 5 exons. Lineage: Eukaryota; Viridiplantae; Streptophyta; Magnoliopsida; Asterales; Asteraceae.